RNAcentral lists this ribosomal RNA (432 nucleotides) under uncultured bacterium. Its description in RNAcentral is "partial 16S ribosomal RNA". It matches the Rfam family "Bacterial small subunit ribosomal RNA", at positions 29 to 507 of the family's 1533-position model. The record is from RNAcentral.
ACGCACGCUGGCGGCAUGCCUAACACCUGCCAGUCGCACGCGACCUUCGGGUCUAGUGGCGCACGGGUGCGUAACGCGUGGGAACCUGCCCUUAGGUUCGGAAUAACUCCCCGAAAGGGGUGCUAAUACCGGAUAAUGUCUUCGGACCAAAGAUUUAUCGCCUUUGGAUGGGCCCGCGUUGGAUUAGCUAGUUGGUAGGGUAAAAGCCUACCAAGGCGACGAUCCAUAGCUGGUCUGAGAGGAUGAUCAGCCACACUGGGACUGAGACACGGCCCAGACUCCUACGGGAGGCAGCAGUGGGGAAUAUUGGACAAUGGGCGAAAGCCUGAUCCAGCAAUGCCGCGUGUGUGAUGAAGGCCUUAGGGUUGUAAAGCUCUUUUACCCGGGAUGAUAAUGACAGUACCGGGAGAAUAAGCUCCGGCUAACUCCGUG